ACAUCUGAUAAAGACAAAGCAUUGAAUCUCUUUUUUCCUUGGCAGAUUACAUUAAAGGUAAAGAAGACCUUUGUUUACAAUUUGUCAUAAGAAGCAUACCAAUAAUCUAAGGAAACCUCUUCCUUUCAUUUUAUUUCAUUUCAAUUCCAGUGUAGUCAAGAUACAGUCUUAUGUUAGUUUCUGGCAUGCAAAAUAGCAAUUCAGCCGUUCUGUAUACAGCUGCGUGCUCAUCAGGAGCCACUCAGUACACAUGCAUGUUGCUUAGCUAUUUGUUAGAGCCUAAAGCUGGCAAAGAGAACGUGGUAAUGAAGCUCAAGAAACUGGAGUCCAGUGUGAGCACUGGCCGUAAAUGGUUCAGACUAGGCAACGUGGUGCACGCCCUCCAGGCGACGCAGCAGAGCAUCCACGCCCCUGCGCUGGUGCCCCGCGUGUGCCUGACGUUAGCCAACGUGAACCGCGUGAUUUAUUUCGUCUGCGACACCGUCCUCUGGGUGAGGAGCGUAGGGCUGGCCGCGCACAUUAACAAAGAGAAGUGGCGGACGUGGGCCGCCCGCCACUACUGCUGCGCCCUCCUGCUGAGCCUGGCCAGGGAUCUGUACGAAAUCUCCCUGGAGAUGGAGCGGGCCGCGCGCGACAGGGCCCAGCGGGAGCAGCCGCCGUCCCGGGGUCCUCCUGGCUGCAGCGUGGCCGACGAGGAGACGGAAUGGCUCCAGGCCUUCCUCCUCCUCUUGUUCCGAGCCCUGAAGGGGCAUCCCCCCUUGCUCCUGGACACGGUAAAGAACCUCUGCGACAUCUUGAACCCCUUGGACCAGUUGGGGAUCUAUAGGUCCAACCCCGGCAUCAUUGGACUCGGAGGCCUCGUGUCGUCCCUGGCAGGCAUGGUCCUCGUGGCGUACCCCCGGCUGAAGCUGAGGACGCAGUGAGGUGCUCUCAGGCCCCGCACCGGCACCUGCUUGAAAAGGCAGCGUCUGCGGAGCGGGCAUCUGCAGGAGGCGCAGACCGUGUCCGACUGCGCGUGAGGACUCAGCCCUGCGAGUGACCCGCGACGUGAGCAAGGGCGGGUUCAGGCGUGCAGAACGGGAGCACCUGAGGAUUUAUAUGUGUGUUUUUGAGCGCUGUUGUGACUUCUGGAUUUCCGAGUAUUUUCCUUUCAUCUAACAUUUGUUGAGCAUCUCUUCUGCUCGGGGUGGGAGCUUACUGUUUGCUGAAUAUACAAAAACUAGAAGAGGCCCAAAUGAUCAUUAAUGUACAGUGUGACUUAGGGGCGGAGGGCCUCACUGCUUUUGCGCAGCGACUGCAGAUCUAAUGCGCAGCCGCCUCUCCGGUCUCCCAGGAGCCUCUUGUUCCUCUGGUCAGUUCCCGGCCCUGCACCCUGCACCCCUCCAUAGACGCGCACGCCAGGACGCAGGAAGCUGGGCUUAGAGCCUUGCAUCACAGCACUGCCGCCUUCCACUGGCCAGAAGGAGAGCCCGAAACGCAUCAGGCACCUUUGUGGGAUAAAUUGUGACUUCAGGUAGUGAACAAAACAGACUCCUGUCUCUGUGAUGCGUUCUGGGAAUGAGGAAGAGCGAAAGGAAGGCCAAUCCAGAGAUGCUCAGGGUGGACGCGGUCGGUCGAGAGGGCUCUGGCACGAGGAGCCUGGAAGACCCGGGCCGAGGGGGAGGACGGAGAAGGAUUGAGGCUGCACCGUCUGGGUUGAAAGACCGCUAGGAUGAUCUCCUGCGCCCGCUCUGCCAGCAGAGGCCUGGCUGCCACCUGGAGGCGUGGCCCUGGAGUCUGCGGCGGCGUGUUAGUGUGGCAGGUUACAGUCUUACACGUUACUGCUGCGUCCCCUGUGGCCCUUUGGCCCUUUGCAAUUUAGCGUGGGCCACGGGGAGUUUGGGAAAUACCAUCUCUGACUGGUACCCUGCUCCCUGCCUCUCUGUGCAUCUUUCUUGCUUCUAACUAACCAUCCCGACCUCCAAGCCUCCGCGUUCACGAGGGACUCUGAAAACCAAAGACAUUCCUAACAAACGCACAAAACAACUGACCGUUCCCUGAGAAUUUAUUCAACAGCGGAUGUUUGGAUGCCACGCUUCGUUUGGGGGUCCACUUGUG
Suricata suricatta (meerkat) is the source of this 2097-nucleotide RNA transcript. It is a transcript of the gene named peroxisomal biogenesis factor 11 alpha, with no coding region annotated. The record is from RefSeq and is a predicted model, not a curated record. Lineage: Eukaryota; Metazoa; Chordata; Mammalia; Carnivora; Herpestidae. The transcript is spliced from 4 exons.